CGGCAGGCCUAACACAUAGCAAGUCGAGCGGUAACAGAAAGUAGCUUGCUACUUUGCUGACGAGCGGCGGACGGGUGAGUAAUGCUUGGGAACAUGCCUUGAGGUGGGGGACAACAGUUGGAAACGACUGCUAAUACCGCAUAAUGUCUACGGACCAAAGGGGGCUUCGGCUCUCGCCUUUAGAUUGGCCCAAGUGGGAUUAGCUAGUUGGUGAGGUAAUGGCUCACCAAGGCGACGAUCCCUAGCUGGUUUGAGAGGAUGAUCAGCCACACUGGGACUGAGACACGGCCCAGACUCCUACGGGAGGCAGCAGUGGGGAAUAUUGCACAAUGGGCGCAAGCCUGAUGCAGCCAUGCCGCGUGUGUGAAGAAGGCCUUCGGGGUUGUAAAGCACUUUCAGUCAGGAGGAAAGGUUAGUAGUUAAUACCUGCUAGCUGUGACGUUACUGACAGAAGAAGCACCGGCUAACUCCGUGCCAGCAGCCGCGGUAA
Molecule: ribosomal RNA, 490 nt
Filed under: uncultured bacterium
Lineage: Bacteria
Description: bacterial SSU rRNA
Rfam family: Bacterial small subunit ribosomal RNA
Source: RNAcentral